UUUAUAGAGAGUUUGAUCCUGGCUCAGGAUGAACGCUGGCGGCGUGCCUAACACAUGCAAGUCGAACGAAGCACUGUCGAAUGAGGAUUCGUCUGAAUUUGGCUUUGACUUAGUGGCGGACGGGUGAGUAAUGCGUGGGCAACCUGCCUUUCAGAGGGGGACAACAGUUGGAAACGACUGCUAAUACCGCAUGACAUAUUGAGAUCGCAUGGUUUUAAUAUUAAAGAUUUAUCGCUGAAAGAUGGGCUCACGUCUGAUUAGUUAGUUGGUGAGGUAACGGCUCACCAAGACUGCGAUCAGUAGCCGGACUGAGAGGUUGAACGGCCACAUUGGGACUGAGAUACGGCCCAGACUCCUACGGGA
Molecule: ribosomal RNA, 363 nt
Filed under: Bacillota bacterium
Lineage: Bacteria; Bacillati; Bacillota
Description: bacterial SSU rRNA
Rfam family: Bacterial small subunit ribosomal RNA
Source: RNAcentral